This is a non-coding RNA of Acanthosepion pharaonis, 79 nucleotides long. The record is from the annotation of a GenBank genome assembly. Lineage: Eukaryota; Metazoa; Mollusca; Cephalopoda; Sepiida; Sepiidae.
UUACGGUCAAAUCACGCUGAAACACCGGUUCUCGUACGAUCACCGAAGUUAAGCAGCGUAGAGCCAGAUCAGUACUUAG